Molecule: long non-coding RNA, 2663 nt
Organism: Quercus lobata
Lineage: Eukaryota; Viridiplantae; Streptophyta; Magnoliopsida; Fagales; Fagaceae
Exons: 4
Source: RefSeq, a predicted model, not a curated record
ACCAACCAACCCUAAACCUCUCUCACCGUCACUCACACUCUCUCUGCCUCUCUGCCUCUCCUCAUCGUCUCUUCUCACCACUUCGUGUUGUGGGAAAGUUCUGUCUCUCACAUAUACACACAUUUAUUUGUUUUGGCAUCGAUUUUGCGCUUAAUUAUUGUUCCUCGUUCAUCGUCUCUAGUCUUUCUACCACUUUCUUUCCUCAGUUGCCUACAUGUCUACCAGAUCCUCUGCCUCAACCCUAGCCCCAAGGCCUCCAACUAGCAUGACAUUAGAAUCACAAUGGUUGUUUGGAGAGGAAGUUAAGUUCAUUCCAGUUGAGAAUCCACAACAACAAGGUACUAAAAGAAGAACAAUUUUAGACGUAUGGAAUCAUUUUAAGAAAAAGAAUAUUGAUGGGAAAGUUAAGGCCCAAUGCAACUACUAUGGAAGACUUAUGGCUAGAGCAAGUACAUCAGGGACAACUCAUUUAAAACUGCACAUAGCAAAAAGUUGUCCAAGUGCUCCAAGGGAAGCAAGUCCUCCGAGGGAAGGAGCAGAUAUUAGGAAGCAAGUUCUUGUCAAACAACACAAUAGGACAAGAAGUAAAGGGAUCUCAAGCCCUAGUGUUUUUAAUGAAGAGGAUCAGGAGGCUUCGAGGAGGGACCUUGCUUGAAUGGUCUUUUGCAUGAGUACCCUCUUGCAAUUGUUGAUCAUGUUGGGUUUUGGGAUUUUAUUGAUGGUCUUCAGCCAAAUUUAAAAUAGUAGGAAGAAACACAUUGAAGCGAGAUAUCAAAAAAAUUUAUAAUGAAAAGAAGCAGAAGACUAUGGUAGAAAUUGACAAGAAUGCAAGUAAAGGUGCAAUCACAAGGGACUUGUGGACUGCAAACAACAGCAAGAGGUUAUUCAUGGUAAUCACAGCGCAUUACAUAAGUGACUCUUGGACUUUGGAAAGCCGAGUUAUAAGGUUUAUUUGUAUGCCAUCUCCACAUGAUAAGUAUUCUCUUUCUAAAAUCCUUUUGGAGUGUCUUUCUGAUUGGAAGAUUGAUUUGAAGUUAUCUGCCAUAACUAUAGAUAAUACUAGCAACAAUGAUGGCAUGAUGAAACUUAUUUCAGAUAAGCUUCAAACUAGUUCACUUAUUUUAGGUGGAAAAUUGUUGCAUGUGCGUUGUGCAGCACAUAUUCUGAAUUUGGUUGUUCAAGAGGGUUUGAAUGUAAUUGGUGAUGGUAUUGAGAAGGUUCGAAGUAGUGUCUAUUUUUGGGCACAAUCGCCAAAAAGAACAUAAAUUUUUGAAAAAAUAUCUCACCAAUCACAUAUUGCAAGUACUAAGGAACUGGUACUUGAUUGUAGGACUCGUUGGAACUCUACAUAUUUGAUGCUUUCAACUACCUUGAUUUAUAAAGAUGUCUUUCCCCGUUUACUGUGUUGUGAGCCUCAGUAUCAGUUUGCUCUAACUAAUAGGGAUUGGGAGGUAGCACAAAUUGUUUGUGAGAAGUUGGGUUACUUUCAUAAAGUUACUGAGUUGCUUUCUGGUACUGCCUACCUUACGACAAAUCAUUAUUUUCCUUCGGUCUUCUGGUUGAAGAUGGAAUUAAAUCAGUGGCUUUCAAGUGAAGAUGAGUUGGUUAAGAAAAUGGCAGCAAAGAUGUUAGCUAAGUUUGAUAGAUAUUGGAGUGACGUUCAUGACAUCAUAAGUUUGGCUAUUGUUUUAGAUCCAAGAUAUAUAUUGAUGUUAUUGACAUUUUAUUUUAAUAAAAUGUAUGGUAGUAAGGCUAACGAAGAAAUUGACAAGGUUAAGAACCUUCUUUUUGAGUUAUUUGCGGAGUAUGUCAUAGAAAACAUUGAUAGAGGAGUCAUUUAUUCUCAAGCUUUAUCUUCUACAUCUACAUCAAGUGCUACACAUAAACAUGAUGAUACAAUGAGGGACUAUGAUUUGUUUGUUAGUAAUGCGACUACUAACAUAGGCCAAAGGGGUAAGGAUAUUAUAUCGGAGUUUGAACUUUAUACUAGUGAGAAAGUGGCACCUAGAACUGAACAAUUUGAUGUUUUGGGUUGGUGGAAGCAUAAUGGUAGUAAGUAUCCUACCUUGCAACACAUUGCAAGGGAUAUUUUGGCUAUUCCUAUGACAAUAGUUGCCUCAGAGUCGGCUUUUAGCACUAACGGGAGAUUGUUGAGUCCACAUCGUAGCCGUAUGAUACCUUAGAAGGAUGAUGUGUGGGCAAAAUUGGUUAUGGAGCAAACUUAAAGGUGUUCCAAAAGAUGCUACCAUUCAAAAUGUUCUUGAUGAUUAUGAAGAAAAUGCAGUGGAGGAAAGUCAUGCCAUGGAGCUUUCAGACUAAUGGACAGGUCCUGCGCUGUUAGUUGAUGUUCCAAGGGAUAAGAACAUUAUUGGUAUGUUCUCUCUUCUUUAAUUGAGACUAAUUUUACCCUGCUAUGUGCAGACAACUGGUAUGCCGGGUUUGUUAGUUGGUUGAUGUGUUUGUGUAUGUGAAUAUGAAACAAUAUAUGGGUAUUGUGAACUUUCUGUGUAUGUGUUUAUUGUGUUGUAUCAUUGUGUGUGUGUACAUGAAGUUUACUCUCAAUGAAUGUUGCUUGUCUUGAGCCAAAAAUAGGAAAAUCUUUAGAAGUUCAAAACUGGAAUGUUGUAUAUUGGAUUUUACACUACGAAUUGAGUUGGUGGCCA